This 107-nucleotide small nuclear RNA is filed under the name Prolemur simus (greater bamboo lemur). The record is from RNAcentral. Lineage: Eukaryota; Metazoa; Chordata; Mammalia; Primates; Lemuridae.
GUGCUCACUUCGGCAGCACAUACACUAAAAUUGGAAUGAUACAGAGAAGAUUAGCAUGGCCCCUGUGCAAGGAUGACACGCAAAUUAAAAUUUUAAAAAAAUAAAUU